This is a long non-coding RNA of Neocloeon triangulifer, 592 nucleotides long. RefSeq lists it as uncharacterized. The record is from RefSeq and is a predicted model, not a curated record. Lineage: Eukaryota; Metazoa; Arthropoda; Insecta; Ephemeroptera; Baetidae. The transcript has 3 exons.
UCGUCAGCAAGCCUUUCCAAUUGUCGUCCGCCCGUUGCAGGACCAGUUCGUCAGCUGCUCUUUAUUCAAGAGGCAGCAUCCUUUUUGAAGUAAAAGACAGAUCGCUGCUUAUGAUGUACACUAUUCGAAAAUGCUUGAUUGCCGUGGCAUGUCUGAUUGCCUUUUUUUCUAUCAUAGAUGCUGCACCGGUUGAAAACACGCAAAAAACCCACGAGCAUGAAGAUACUGAAGAUGAAAAAGGACCAGUAACUGGUUUUAGUUCUAUUAGUAACCAGCCUAUCCGCCAAGAAAACAAUUUGAAAUGCUUGGAAAACGCUAAAAACAAUAUUAAUGAAGCGCGAAAAUGCCAUGAGAUCUACAGAAAUUGUCCUGCUGGAUACAAUUAUAACGUUAGGGCUAGAGCGUGCAAGCUAAUUGUACGUUGAGGCUCGGCCAAAAGACAUCAUCCGACUAGGAUUAAAGUGGAUAUUUACUAAUGUAACCUUCUUAAAGCGAAAAUAAAUUAGCAUCCAUUUAUAAUGAUACAGGCCAGCAAUAAUAUAUUUCAUUCCAUUUAUAGUUAACAAAAAGCAAAACAAUAAAACUAUAUGAA